This 207-nucleotide ribosomal RNA is filed under the name uncultured Smithella sp. RNAcentral describes it as "partial 16S ribosomal RNA". It matches the Rfam family "Bacterial small subunit ribosomal RNA", at positions 568 to 774 of the family's 1533-position model. The record is from RNAcentral. Lineage: Bacteria; Pseudomonadati; Thermodesulfobacteriota; Syntrophia; Syntrophales; Smithellaceae.
CGUGUAGGCGGCUUGAUAAGUCAGAUGUGAAAGCCCUGGGCUUAACCCAGGAAGUGCAUUUGAAACUGUUAGGCUUGAGUAAGGGAGAGGAAGGUGGAAUUCCUGGUGUAGAGGUGAAAUUCGUAGAUAUCAGGAGGAACACCGGUGGCGAAGGCGACCUUCUGGCCCUAUACUGACGCUGAGACGCGAAAGCGUGGGUAGCAAACA